AGAGUUUGAUCCUGGCUCAGGACACACGCUAGCGGCGUACUUAACGAAUGCGAGUCUAGCGAUGAACUCGGCCUGCGGCUUCGGCCAAAGGUUGGGAAUCAGCGGCAAACGGGUGAGUAACACGUAGCUAACCUACCCUCGACAUCGGGAUAGCUGCCAGAAAUGGCGGGUAAUACCGGGUACGUCCCCCUGGUCGCAUGACUGGGAGGGGAGAGGCUUCGGUCGCUCGAGGAUGGGGCUGCGGCUCAUUAGCUAGUUGGUAGGGUAACGGCCUACCAAGGCGACGAUGGGUAGCCGGCCUGAGGGUGCCCGGCCACACUGGGACUGAGAGAUGGUCCAGACUCCUACGGGAGUUAGCAUCGAGGGAUAUUGCGCAAUGGGCGAAAGCCUGACGCAGUGACGCCGCGUGGGUGACGAAGGCCUUCGGGUCGUAAAGCCCUGUCGGGUGGGAUGAGUCCCCCGGGUAGUGCCGGGGGGUGACAGUACCACCCAAGAAAGCCACAGCUAACUACGUGCCAGCAGCUGCGGUAAUACGUAGGUGACAAGCGUUGUCCGGAAUUACUGGGCGUAAAGGGCAUCUAGGCGGCUUGAUAAGUGGAAUGUGAAAGUCCGGGACUCAACCUCGGAAAGCCGUUUCAAACUGUCAGGCUUGAGUGCGGGAGAGGGAAGUGGAACUCACGGUGUAGCGGUGAAAUGCGUAGAUAUCGUGAGGAACACCAGUGGCGAAGGCGGCUUCCUGGACCGCAACUGACGCUGAAGUGCGAAAGCUAGGGGAGCAAACGGGAUUAGAUACCCCGGUAGUCCUAGCCGUAAACGAUGACCACUAGGUGUUGGGGGCAUCGACCCUCCCAGUGCCGAAGCUAACGCAUUAAGUGGUCCGCCUGGGGAGUACGGCCGCAAGGCUGAAACUCAAAGGAAUUGACGGGGGCCCGCACAAGCGGUGGAGCAUGUUGCUUAAUCCGACGCAACGCGAAGAACCUUACCAGGCCUUGACUACUAGCGACCGCCCUCGAAAGGGGGCUUCCGGGCAACCGGCGCGAAAAACAGGUGGUGCAUGGCUGUCGUCAGCUCGUGUCGUGAGAUGUUGGGUUAAGUCCCGCAACGAGCGCAACCCUCGCUGCGUGUUACCAGCGGGUUAUGCCGGGGACUCACGCGGUACUGCCGGAGCAAUCCGGAGGAAGGUGGGGAUGACGUCAAGUCGGCAUGCCCCUUAAGGUCUGGGCUGCAAACAUGCUACAAUGGCCGGUACAAAGGGCUGCAAGGUCGCGAGGCCAAGCCAAUCCCUAAAAGCCGGUCUCAGUUCGGAUUGGAGUCUGCAACUCGACUCCAUGAAGCUGGAAUCGCUAGUAACCGCAGAUCAGCAACGCUGUGGUGAAUACGUUCCCGGGCCUUGUACACACCGCCCGUCACGUCAUGAAAGCCGGCUACACCCGAAGCCAAUGGGCCAACCCUUCGGGGAGGCAGUUGUCGAAGGUGAAUCCGGUGAUUGGGACGAAGUCGUAACAAGGUA
RNAcentral lists this ribosomal RNA (1510 nucleotides) under metagenome. RNAcentral's name for it is "bacterial SSU rRNA". It matches the Rfam family "Bacterial small subunit ribosomal RNA". The record is from RNAcentral.